AGAUGGAUUUGGAUGGAGAAGUGUGGUGAUGGGAUAUGGAAGUGGAUUCAUAGUUGGGAUUGGAAUUGGUUACAUCAUUAUUAGAAAUGGAAGGCCAAGAUGGUUAGUGGAAUUCUUUUUCGGCAUUGGAUAUAAUAAUAAUAAGAAGAAGAGACGCAGCAGAGCUACACCAACACCAACACGCAGGAGAACUUAAUUGAAGGAUUGUGCUCGAAUUGUGUUUUCUUUUUCUUAUCUCCUUUUUAAUGGCUACUUUAGUGUGUUUGUGCUCGAUUUCAACUUUAGAGUUUAUGAAAUAUUGUUGUUUGUUCGUGUUGUUAUGUCUUGAAUCUCCCGCUUCGAACUACGGGGCUCUCGCUGAGAUCUAUAAAUACUAUAAAUACUUGAGAUCUGUAAUCUGUAACCCUAGCCGCAUAAUAAAAUCUGUCAUCCUCUCUGUCCGUGGAUGUAGCCAUAUUGGUGAACCACGUAAAUAUGUGUCUUCUUUACGUUUUCUGUUUGAUUGUGCUCUUUAAAUCCUAUUCUGUCACAACAGUUCGAAUAUGUUAUGUUUUAAUUUCAUCUCGUUUAGGUAAUUUUUUUUAGAUAUAUUAAAACAGUUUUGUGAUUUUUUAGGUAGUUUUAAAUUUUUAGAUUAAUGUCAUCACGUGAAUAGGUAGCUUUAAAACAGUUUUGGAUUUAUUCAAGCAAAAAUACUACACGUGAAUCUAGUUGGAACAGAUUCUGUUAAGCCUCAAAACAUUACCUCAAAACAUUUAUCGGAUUCUGUUAAGCCUAUAAAUCGUUGGUUUGUAUUUGUUGCUUAAUUUAUAAAUAAUGUUUUAUACAUUUUUUCUUUUGGCUCUUGUUUUUUUAAUUAAUUUAAUCAAUUACAAAAUAUCUUACUUCUUAUGUCGAGAGCAUAUUGCAGGAGUCUCUUGUUUAAUUAAGUAAUCAAAUAGUAAUACUUUUCAAUUAUAACAAUAAAAAUCUUAAGGUUGCGAACAUUGCAUAUUCUGUUUAAUUAGUAUCAAACCUUGUGACCUAUUAAAGACGGAGUUAAUAUAUUAAGUUAAUAGUUUUUUAAUGUCAUACUCUUUUUCUUAGAGAAUUACUAAUAGUCAAAAUUUAUUUUAGCUUGCAAUAUAAAUGGCAUCAGCUAGGCUUCUUGUUUGUGCACAAAAUUACAAUUAGCACUCUGCAUUUUCAGUAUGGGGAGAGUUUCCCCAUUUUUCCUACUCAUAUUGUUUUCUUGUCUUAGCCUCAUCAAAUCAAAAGUGAUGAAUAUUCACUUCUUGCUUCAAAUCCCUCAUCACUUUAGAUCCUCACAAACUAUACCUAUUAUAAAAGAGCCUUAUUUUACAAAAUUUGAUUUGCUAUUGUAUCCCUCAUAUAUACUUAAUAUAAAGUUAAUUAUGUAAUUUAAUAUAUUAUACAUAUAAUAAAUCUAAAAAUAUGUAUUAUUGUUUAUCUUUUAUAUUUUAAUAGUUAUUUAAGUAGUAGUAUCGAUUAGGACUCUUCAUCCACAUAAGUUACUAUGUUUUAUUAAUGUAAAUUUAAUAAUUCGGAAUGACAAUACAAAUGAUUACUUUUAGAAGUUUAAGUUUACUAGAAUCCUUGUAAUUAAAAUUAAUAAUGUAAAGAUGAAACCUAGAAAAUAAACAUGACGACAAAAUGGGGUGAUAUUUAAUUAUAAAAUUAUUUUUUAUACUCCCUCCGUCCCACGAAUCUUGACACAUUUCUGGGUCCCAAAUUACAUUUCUCAUUAUUAUUACUUCUCUCUCCUACUUUAUCAUUUUUAUACUUUAUUAACUACACACUUAAAAUACUAAUCUACAACUCCUUAAUUCCCGUGCCGAAACAAACGUGUCAAAGAUUCGUGGAGGAGGGAGUACUAAUUUACAUGAUUUUGUUUUCAUUUUAUGAAUUCUACAAAAUUAUACUUUUACAAAAUUAUACGAUAAUUAAUUCAAAAAAUAUAUUAAAAUAAUAAAUAUUACUAUGAAAUGAAAUAUAAAUUUACACUCAUAAAAUAUACUCAUUCAUUAAAAUAAUUUCUUCUUAUAUGCAAAGAGGCAGACUUUUCACACUCGCCUCUACCAAAAACAGAACAGAACCCAUCUUAAGCCAAUUCUACCUCAAGAAAAACCUUUAAAAUUUCAUUACUCACAUCUCAAACUGCUCUACACAUAUAAUUCUUGAUGAGAUAUUCCACAUCUUCAAUCAAUAAUCUCAUCAAAUCGAUCACUAAACAAUCAAUGGGAACCAAAAAUGUGGAAAUUAAUGUACAAUAUGCAUCUUAAAUGACUGAAUUCAUAAAUUCUUAUCAUUCAUCAUCUUUGGACUUGGUAGCAUUAAAGGAGCCUUCUUCAUCAAUGGAGCUUUCAUCAUCAAAGGAGCCUUCUUCAUCAAUGGAGCCUUCUUCAGCAGCAUGAACACCCACAGCAUCUGUGGUAUCACGAGGUGAAUACACAAAUUUUUUUAUAUCUGAACUAUCAUCCAAAACAAACACAUCAUGAAAUUCUUUAGGCAUAUCAAUCUAUACCAUAAUAAGACUAUAAGACUGAGCUAGUUUGAAUACAAAUCAAAUUAAAUCACAAAUCUAAUCUAUCUAUACUAAUAGAAAAAGUGUCUUGAGUACAAAAUAUUAUAUUAAAUCUAUUUGUAGGAAUAUAUUAAUUCAUUCAAUAUUAUACUAAAUCUAUUUGAUAUAAAUCUGUAGCCAUUUGAUAAGACUUAUAAAUAAAUAUCUAUAUCCAAUAAAAUAUAUUUAGAAUAAUAUAUAUAUUGAUUCAUUGAACCUCAAUGAAAUUCCACAGAGCCUCGGAAAACGACUCCAGAGACUGGAAGUAGAGCGUCUUCGCGAUUCGGCCGUUGAGUCUGCCAGGGAGAUUGGAAAAUCAAAGAAUGGAGCUCAAAAAGGGAAAUUUGCGGUCGAUUUCCAUCUCGUAGUAGGUCCCGUUUCUGAGGCCCAUAAACCCACAUCUAAUUAGGUUGUUGCAGUUGCUCUUAUAUCUACUCAUUCAGGGGUCAAGGAUAUGCUUGUUAUAAUCAUACAUGUUUUCUCUUUUUACCCGAGAGUGAUGCGUUUUUUUCGGUUGUAUUCCUGUGUAAGACUAAUUUUCGAACACAUAAAUAUGUUAUGGUACAAAGGGAGUAAAAAUUCUCAUGCCGAAAAGAAAGUAAACACUUGUUAUGGUACGAAGGGAGGAAAAAAAUUCGGCUAUAUUAUAGGAUUAAUACUAAUUGUAUUGAUUUAUUAUAUGAGGUUAGAUUAUGAGUAAUUUAAUAGAAUAGAUAAGAAUGAAAAAGAAAUUUAAUAGAAUAGGCGAUGCUAUAUUAUAAGAUAGAUACAAUCUUUCGAGUUGAAUUAGAAAUCCACGAUAUCAAAUCUAUUUGAUAAAUAUAUGAUAUAAUAUGUAAUCAGUCCCUUUUGAGUUGAAUUAGGAAUCCUUUAUAACUAAUACAAGCUAACUAUAAAAAUGUAGACAUAUCAAGAUCCAGUCAAUAAAUUAAACUCCACACAUACAAAAGGUAUUUGGUUGAGUUUAUAAGCUUCUUAAAACACCAUAUUAGUUGCUCCCUUCGUCCCAACCAAGUUAAGUCGUAUUCCUUUUCGGGUCAUUCCAAUGAAAUUGUCAGAAUUGGAUAUUGAUAGUGCUAGCCGAGAGGGCCAGAUUGUUCGAUUUCAAAAGCAGAGGAGAACCCACAGCCUCACUUCCACAUUCAUUUCUUCAUCUCUCAAAACUUUUUUCAUUCCAUACAUUUAUUCAUGUUGAGUUUGCAUUUCUGUUGCAUUUGUGAGUGUUUUUCCAUAUGUUGUCUGCUUAACUGGUAGUGUGUUGAUGAACAAACUUAGGGCACUCUUUUCCUCGAUUUGUCGCGAGGUUUUUAAUGAGGCCUGCACCCUACACGAGCCACGAUUUGGGGGUAUAAUAGCAUUCAUCAAAUAAAGCAUACAAAUAUUACUGAAUAUCUGAGCAAGAAUGGAUAGAAAUUGUAUUACUAAACAAGGAUGGAUCAAUAUUUGGUUUGUUCAACAAUGGAUGUAGAUAAUGUAGCUCCAAUCCAAGAACAUUAAGAACAUGAUGUUGUAAGAAUUGCAGAUCAAUGGAGAAUCCCCAUACUCUCUCUUUCAUUAUUCCUUCAUCUUCUACUUGUGAAAGAAUCUGUUGGUAGAGAAGGGAUUCCAAUAAGUCCUCAAAUUCCCAAAUCAAAUCUUUGAUUCUUCCAUCCAAACCAUUCACUUUUGCUUGUGCUGUCCAAUUCUUCCAGAAUAUAUUGCAAUGGAUACAGCUCGAGUUGUACGAUAUGGGGAGAGGGAUCAACGAGGCUAAAAUGAGAAGAAUUGAGAAUAUAACCAAUUGUAUUCCUCAGAGAAUUCACAGUUUUCAUCCAUACAUAAUCCACUCAGCUUAUAAUACAUAAACAUGGUGUCUCACCUUUCCGACCCUGUUAUACAUAUCCUCAGCUAUCAUACCAAUUCCUGAAAAUUAAUACAUAAAUAUAGGGUGUGAGCAUACAAUACAUAAAUAUUCAGAGGAUAAUUAAUUAGUCAUUUUGUGUUGUGUGUCGAAGUUGUAGCAACCCACAAUGAACCUACACACACCCACACAUAUUGGAACAACACCUCCCUUAGUUUAAUUACUUGUGAAAAUUAUCAUCUAUUGACUAACUAAUAAGAAAAACAAAGGUAGCAACGUAAAACACCUUGACCAAAAAAGAAUACUAUUUUCUAGCAUCAAAAUUUGAAUUAAUUAAGUAUAUUUUGAACAUAGUUAGAAUACGAAAUCCCAUAAUUCACUUGAAAUAUAUAAGAAGACUAGAACAUGAAUUGAUCAGCAGUUGCAGGACUAACCUUCGAAACUUGAUAGUAAUGGGUUUCUCGUCAAAGGAAGAAGAGGCAGUAACAUCAGUGAAAGUCUCUGCAUUCUGUCGUAAUUGAUUGGCCAAGUCACAACUACAGGAUUGCAGCUCUCUAAUUCAAUCACUCCGGACCAAACUUUAGACGGCGAGUGGAUCUCUUUUAGUUUGUAGCAAUGUUUCAAGCUUAGGUAUUCAAGAACAGGGAAGCUUCCAUCUCUUAGCUUCCAUUGCACCAAAUCACUAUCUUCAAUUAGAAGAAACUCAAGUCUCAAAAAACAUCCCUCUUGCACUUCCCACUUUGAACCCCGAAAGGCGUAGGCUCGCAAUUUGAGUACUUCAAGACAUGGCAAAGAGCCAAUUACAUCCAUGUAUUCCCAAGGAAAACACAUACCACUCAAAUGUAACUUUUUCAAUCCAGGUGGAAAGAUUAUCAACGAACUAGGAAACACAUAAUCGUACUUAGCCACAGGAUUCGUGAUACUACAUUUCAAUGUCUCCAAACUUUCAAGUGUUGAAAUACAGCCAAAACAACUCAAAAGGUCGUUAUGGUCAUCAUAAGGUGUAAGCUCGAUCUGAACUCCUAAUUUCCUUAUACAAGGAAAUUUCCAGGAGUGUUCCAAGAUAGUGCAAAUGCUGGCAUUCACACCUAAAAGUAUUGAGAGGUUUUCUAAAGAAUCGGAAUGAGAUGGAGCUACAAGGCACUUCCCCAAUAUCUCAAUAUGCUCCAACUCUUGCAUUUCCCAUAUUUCUAUUGGUACAUAUGAUGGAGCUCCACACAUUCUAAUGUUGUUAUGCGGAUGUAUAAUCAAGACUCGAAGAUUGAAAAGUUUGGAUAUGGUUGGAGGGAAUUCACCGUUGCAAGUUAGAGCAAGGUACUUUAGUAGGACUAGUGUCAGAAUUUUUGUUGGGAAAGUGUACAAACGUAGAUUAAGAGCAUCUAGUUUCCCAAGCAACUUGAAAUCGUCACCUAUUGGGAUUGGAUAUUGAUGGUAUGGGCCAAAGAAAAGGAGAGAACGUGCAGAGGAUGCACAGUUCAAUCUCAUGGAAAAGCAAAAGUACUUUGAUGCUAAAUAAAAGGUUAUUUUCAAGACACAAGCAACGCUGACCUUUUACACCAUCUUCUAAGACUUCAACAAGCUUUUUUAUGACAUGAUAAAACUUGUUCUUCCGAGCCUCUCCUCUGCACACGUGCCUCCACGAAGAAUGAAGCCGACAAGUUUUAUAGAAAAAACUGAUCCUUUCAUUGCAUAAAACAAGAUUCUUACGCGUACAAAGCUGGUUCAAGCAUCGCUGGACAGAAUCUUUCAAAGAAUCUUCUUUGUUUAUGUUAUGAUACCAACCCUCAGUAGCCAACAUAUUCAUGAACUUGGAUAUUGGGAUGUCAUAAUCUGGAGGGAACACUCCCAUAUACAGAAAAAGUACUUUAAAAUAUUGAGGUAAGUAAUCGUAACUUGGGAAAAGUACCUUUGUAAUUUGAUUAUAUGCAUCAGUGAAGACUGAAUUUCGCAUUUCUGCAACAUCGUCCCAGUAUUUUGGGUCUGUAUUCUGGGCUUUCGAUAUGAUGUCAGCCACUGUGACUAUCGUGAGAGGAAGACCUUCACAUUUCUUGGCUAUUUUGGUAGCGGCUUUGUCAAGUGAAAAGGGCAAUCCUUUUCACCAAACACCUUCUCACAUAGUAGCUCCUUACUUUCUUCUUCGUUCAAAAACCGCACCAACAUACAUAUAAUAGGAAAGCUUGGGGAGGCUGAGUUUAUGUCUCGAGUAGUAACCAAGACAUAAAUAUUUUCAUAAUCGAUGUCCAGUAAGGAAAUGAACAAGGAAUCCAAUAUCUGUGUCUCCCACACAUCAUCGAGCACAAUGAGGCAUUUCUUUCUCACCAAUCUUUCUUUCAUGUAGGCGCCUAACUCGCGAUCUCCUUGUGUGAUUCCAAACAUUUGAGCAAGAAUGCCUCGUGAAACAUCAUCGAAUUGAGAUUUUCUGCCUACCCUGACCCAUGCGCGAUGUUCAAAAAGCUAGAGAUAUCAUGAUCUUCAAAAACUGCCUUAGCAAGAGCAGUCUUCCCCACCCCUGCAUUCCAACAAGAUAAAUAAAUAAUCCUCAUGAUAAAACUUUUAAUAAGUCUCCUUUGAGUUGUUGGAAUGAUCCGAAAUCCAAUCAACUUCGACUUGGUCCCAAUUGUUGAGGAAAUAGAUUCUUCCUCAUCGUCAUCUUCAGGCAUAUUGUCUACUUCAUAAAUGUAUUCCUUCUCCAUAUUCUUGACCCUCUCGAUGAAUAAACGAGCAUCAUCUUCUAGGCAGUGCAGAUCAAUGGAGAAUCUCUCACCUCCAUUGAUGUUGUGCAGUACUCUCUUUUUCAUUUCUUCAUACACUUGGUCUGCACGAAUUUGUGAAUGAAUCUGUUGAUAGAGAAGGGAUUCUAAUAAGUCUUCGAAUUCCCAUAUCAAAUCCUUGAUCAUUCCAUCCAAAGCAUUCACCUUCUUUCUGCUCUUGCUUGUUCUUGUUUUAUCUAAUCUUUCAAGAAUUUCUUGCAAUGGAUUCAACUCCUCGUAGGCGAGUUUUAAAAUAUGUGGAGAGGUCUCAACAAGACUAAAAUGAGAAGAAUGGAGAAUAUAAUCAAUCGUAUUCCCUAGAGAAAUCACUGCGCCAUAUGCCGUCAUUGGUGGCGGCGGCGGCGGCGAGAUGAAGUCGGCAGUUUGAAAUAUUAAAAUAAAACAAUACCUGCUCAAUUAUUUAAGCUAACGAUUAAUUCAAGGAAAGAAACAAUAUUUUUAUUAAUGUUAUGAUACCAGCCCUCAGUAGCCAACAUAUUCAUGAACUUGGAUAUUGGGAUGUCAUAAUCCGGAGGGAACACUCCCAUAUACAGAAAAAAGUAAUUUAAAAUAUUGAGGUAAGUAAUCGCAACUUGGGAAAAGUACCUUUGUAAGUUGAUUAUAUGCAUCGGUGAAGACUGAAUUUCGCAUUUCUGCAACAUCGUCCCAGUAUUUUGGAUCUGUAUUCUGGACUUUUGAUAUGAUGUCAGCCACUGUGACUAUCGUGAAAAAAUAAAUUAAUUCUCAUGGACCAAUCAGUUGUAGGAUACGUGAAUGGAGUGGAUGUAAUGUAUCCAAAUUUUCACGUACUUUAUCGAUAGUUAGCAUUGCAAGAGUCGCUUAAGUUUUUUUAAAAUAUAAAAUAAUCCAAGAAUAUGAGCAACUAAAAUACACACACGAAUCAUCUUUCCCAGGAUGCCAUUGUAUCUCACCUUCCUCUCAUUUCUCAGAAAACAAAUUCGUUUUGCCUAUUUCCGCCACUUACUUCUCUUACUUCUUAUUCUAUAUAAAAAUCAAGAUUCGAUUAUUCUUAUUUUUUAAAUUAAAAUUUAUAAUUUACUCUUUUGGCAUGAAUUAUUUUAAUUUUGUAGUUUUUAUUGUUGUUUAAAAUUUUGUUAAAGAUUAAUUGUUUUCAUUUAAGAUAUUAUUGUGACUCACUGGCGGAGCCAGGGGGGCAGUGGGGUCACUGGACCCCCCUGAGAUUUUAUGAUUUUCGUAGGGGUAUUAUGGUAAUUUUCAAAUAUAUAUUAAUAAAGAAGAAAAAAUAUGGUUUUGGGAUUAAUUUUCAGUUGGAAUACACUAGCCUCUGAAAGUUUCCACACACUUGUGUCUUCCCUCUCUCAAUCGUCGGCAUUCCCGAAUAUGACCGGCUUCGUCGUGCCGUUGAUUGGCUUCGCUUUUCGCCGACAAGUUCUGUAUCGCCGCCGCGUCGCUGACUGGCUUCCUGCAAGAUAGCUUGCUCUGUUGCUCCGUAUCUAUCCUCUCAAUUGCUCAUAUAAUUGUUAAUUUGUUGACAAAAAACUAAUUAGUAGCUUUAAUCAUUGUGGAUAAUUCAGAUAUUGGUAGCUCUAAUUUAACUUGAACUUAUGCGAAUUUAGCUUGAACUUGACAGAGAACAUUGUGCUAAACUCAUUAGUAGCUUUAAAUCAUCUGCGAAUUCAAACAUUGACAGAGAACAUUGUGCUGAAUUUAACUUGAACUUAUGUUUCAGAUUUAAUUCCUUUAAGUUGUAUGUGGCCACCAGUUUAUUGUAUGCGAAUUUUUAAGUUUCAGAUUUAAUUGUCAUGUUGUACAAUGAUUAAAUAAUCUAGAAAUAUAUAUAAAAAAAAGUAAAGUUAAAGGGAAAAAAAUUCCUUGUUAAAAUUAAGACCAAUAAAAAAAAAUCCUUAAAUACACUAUUACACAUGUAGGACACACACAUCUUUAUCUUAAUUUUAUUCAUCUUAAUUUUCAUGUCAAAAAAACACGUACUAUGAAUAAUGGGACGAAAAGGGUAUUAUUUAUUUUUUAUUAAUUAUUUAUGUAUUAUUUAAUUAUUAAUUUUAUUAAAAAAAAUUGGACCCCCCUAAGACAAAAGUCUGGCUCCGCCCAGACUCACGUUAACUCAAUCUUCACAUGGCAGGCAACAAUUUGGGAGACACGGUGCGUACACAAAUUGGCAACAUCACGUGACACACAUUUUGUCUUUUGCUUCAGCAAAGUCUACGUGGGAUCCUCUGUCUUAUCAGAACAUAGUGUGUACCUACGUAUAUCACUCUUAUUAUAAUUUUUAAUUAUUUUUUAUUUAAUUUUAACUUAUUAUGCUUUAAAAUACUAUAAAGAUAAUUAACAAUGGUUCAAUCAUUCAAUUAGGGUUUAUAAUUAUUUUUUUAUAUUUAUUUGAAUUAAUAAUAGAUUAUUUGGGUUCAUUAAUUAAUUUAAAGUCAGAGUAUAUAAUUUUUUAAAUUCUAAUUUUUUAAUGAUAAAUAUUAAUUAGAGUUCAUAAUUUAAUAAUUAUUUUUAUUUUUAUAAAAUACAAUUAUUUUCUAUUCAUUUCUCAAGCUUCUUUCAUUUUUCAUUUGUGGGACCCAAAAAUGCAGCUGUAUUCGAUGUAGUUUCAUUUUCACUUGUAAAUAGUCUUUGUCGCUUUUGCCUCCAAAACUCUUAUUUUCUUCUUAAUUCUUUGCUCCAUUCACACUCCAAUUAAUUAAUUAAAAUUGAUUGGAGAAGUUCAUACAUUUUUCCCAUGGGACUUAGAAAAGAUUAUUUUAGCUUUAAAUAAAAGGGCAUCUACUACAAUUAGCACUCUGCAUUUACAAUAUGAAGAGAGUUUCCCCAUUUUUCCUACUUUCCCUACUCUUGUGGUUUUCUUGUGUUAGCCUUGCUAACACAGAUCAAAUCAAAAGUGAUGAAUCUUCACUUUUUGCCUUCAAAUCCCGCAUCACUUCAGAUCCUUCCAAUAUUUUAAAAAAUAAUUGGACCACCGGCACCUCUAUCUGCACGUGGAUGGGAGUUACUUGUGAUUCACGUUAUAGUAGGGUGACUGCUUUAGAUCUCUCGAAUAUGGGACUCGAAGGCAGCAUCCCACCAGAAAUCGUAAAUCUUUCUUCUCUUGUUUCUCUAAAUUUGAGUGGGAACUCUCUUCAUGGCCCCCUACCAAAGGACAUUUGCAGGCACAACAACCUUCAAAGACUCAAAGAACUUUAUCUACACGAUAACAAUUUGGAGGGGGAGAUACCAUUGAGUUUGGGUGAAUGUCCACAACUUGAGAGUAUUUACUUGUCACACAACAACAUUGGUGGACAUGUGCCUACACAAAUUGGGAACAUCACACAACUUAAGGAAUUAGGCCUUUCAAACAACAAUCUAAGCGGUAUGAUCUUUUCGUUUCUGUAGGAUAUCAUGAAGAGGCACUCUCCCAUGCAACCGGUUGCACCCUGCAACUGGUUUCUGAAUGACACUGCUUCAACAUACAAAUGACACUUGAAGAAGUAGUGUCAUUCGGAAAUGUUCAAUUGUCGAAACCAGUUAUACGGUGCAACCGGUUGCACAAGAGUAUUUGUGUAUCAUGAAACGACUUGAUCAUAUAUGUCAUUCACUGGCUUUCACAUGUUUUGUUUUCAAGAUCCCCAUUUGUUACGGUUAUCCAUUAAUUUCUCUUGCUUGUAUUUACGUCGUUUUAUAUUUGGUGUCUUCAUUAUUCUCCAGGUUCUAUUCCGAAAGAGAUUGGAAAUCUUCAUUAUUUACAGAUCAUGAAGUUGGAUUCCAACAAACUUAGCGGAUCAAUCCCGAGAGAAGUGUGGAACAUGACAGGUCUUUACACCUUGCUGCUCGACGAUAAUAGUUUAAGUGGUAUGAUUUUGUGAUGAUUUGGAUAUUUCAUAUUUGUAGGAGUCAUUCCACAAGAGAUUCACCAUCUUCAUGAUUUAGCUCGUGAGUUAAAAUCUUUUUGUGAUGAUUUGGAUAUUUGUAGGAGUCAUUCCACAAGAGAUUCACCAUCUUCAUGAUUUACAAUGGUUGGACUUGAGUUCGAACAAGUUGUCAGGCACUUUGCCACCAACCAUUUUCAACAUGUCUUCCUUCACAGUGAUUGACUUAUCAAGAAACAUGUUUAGCGGGUUAUUGCCUUCAGAAAUUGGAAACAACAAGAAAAGAGUACCACUUAUUUUACACCUUGAAAACAAUGCUUUAAUUGGUAAGAUUUGUAACUCUUGUAGGGUUUUAAACAUAUUCAACUGCUUCUUUUCAUGUCUAUAUAACAUAUUCAACUCUUGAAAUUUUCCAUAUAGCAUUUAUUAGAAUUAGUCAUAUAUUGGGUUGGUAGUAGUCAUAUAUUGUGUUGUUAUUUUAUGUUAUUCAUAAUUUCUCCUCUUUUCAGGUCCGAUACCAUCUACUAUUGGAAACCUAUCAAGUUUGUACUACUUGAAUCUUGGUUCCAACAAAUUUAAUGGUGAUCACUCAUCCUCUAUCUGCAACUUGACAUAUGCUUACAUAGAGUAACAUAGUCGAUUUUAGUAAGAUAUUGCUAUGUGCAUUUUUUUAUGCAAAGAAAUUUUAUCUGCAUUUUUAGGCACACCAUUUCUUAUACAUAUAUCUACUUAUCUUUUAUAUGAAUAUUUAUUUUUAUUCCAACACAGUUACAUGAGCUUAUCAAAUAAGAUUAGUGGCAUCUCAUCAUACUUAAUAAUAAUAAUAAUGUAUUAUUCGGACACAAGUUUAGUAACAUGUUGUCUAAUAGUUGGUAGGAGUCAUACAUUGUGUAUGUUAUGGAUUAAUUUAUCCUGAUCUUUUCAGGUCCAAUACCAUCUACCAUUGGAAACCUAUCAAAUUUGUACAGCUUGAAUCUUGGUUCCAACGAAUUUGAUGGUGAGCUUUCAUCUUCCAUCUGCAACAUGACAUUAGUACAUCACAGUUUGGAAGGAUCAAUUGCACAUUAGAAAACUUUGAAUUUCAUUUAAACAAACCAGUUCCAUCAAUUUAAGUGCUAAUAAAUUGCAAGUGCCCUUACCUAAAUCCUUGAUCAAUUGUCAAAGUCUUAUGGUAGUGUUUUUCACAAAUUUAUAAAUGACUUUUCCAUAUAGCAUUCAUAAGGACUAAUAAGAAAUAUGAACUACUUUGAAUUAAAUAAAUAUACUAUAUUUAAAAAGAAUGCAAUGCAUUCGUCAUUAAUGUUAAACAAGAUGCUAAACUUUAUGUAUGCCAAUGUAAAUGUCUAGUUCAAAUAACAUACAUAUGCUUUAUAUAGAGUAAAAUAGUCGAUGUUGGUAAAAUGCUUAGUGCAUUUUUAGACAUAAAUAAAUUUGAUUCAUAUCCUUCUCUAUCUUUCAAAUAAUAAAUUUAAAGGUCUCGUACUAACUUUCAGGUCAAAUACCAUCUACCAUUGGGAAACUACCAUUGAGUAUUCUACAACUCUCUUCCAACAAAUUAAUCGGUGAGCUUCCUUCAUCCAUCUGUAACAUGACAUCCCUUGGUACUCUUCUUCUCUCAAACAACACUUUGGAAGGAGCAAUUCCACGAUGCUUUGGAAACUUGAGCUCUUUGAUCAUCUUUCAUUUAAAUGAAAAUCAGUUCAGUGGUCUCAUUCCAUCAACAUUUAGCAAGGGGUGUAGUCUUGUGUCCAUCAAUUUGAAUGAUAAUAAAUUGCAAGGACCAUUGCCUAAAUCCUUGAUCAAUUGUCGAAGUCUACAAGGCCUCGACGUUGGAAAUAAUAGAAUACAAGACGAAUUUCCCUUCUGGAUGGAAGUCCUUCCAGACCUUCGAGUGUUGAUCUUGAGGUCUAACAAGUUUUAUGGUAACAUGUCACUUCCUUCACAAACCAAUAUUCCAUUUCAUAAUUUGCAAGUUUUAGAUAUAUCUCAGAAUAGAUUUGUGGGCUCUCUGCCUCAAGGAUAUUUCAAGAAUUUCAGAGCAAUGAUAGAGGUAAAUGAAAUAAGCUUGUCAACUAACGACACCUUCUUUAAAGUUUAUGUGGAGAUGAGGCUCACCUUGAAAGGUCUGGAUCAAUUAUUACAGAGAUUGUUGUCAGCCUUUACAACAAUUGACUUAUCCUCCAAUAGGUUUUCUGGGAGUAUUCCAAAUAAUAUAGGAAAUCUUAAGAUUCUCAAAUACUUGAAUUUGUCACACAAUAACCUCAUAGGAAAUAUACCUUCAUCUCUUGGAAGUAUGAGUGAACUUGAAUCCUUGGACUUGUCAGUGAACAAGUUGGAUGGAGAAAUUCCAAGUGAAUUGACAAGCUUGACAUUUCUUUCAACAUUAAACCUUUCAAUGAAUAAUCUUGUUGGAAAAAACCACAAUUACUCAGUUUUCCACAUUUGAGAAUAACUCAUAUGAGGGAAAUGUAGGAUUGUGUGGAUUUCCUUUGAUAAGAAAAUGCAUGUGGAGAAUGGGCAGCGGCUGCACCAGAAGAAGAAGAUGAUGAGUAUGGAUUUAUAGAUGGAUUUGGUGGAGAAGUGUGGUGAUGGGUAUGGAAGUGGAUUCUAGUUGGAUUGGAAUUGGUUACAUAUAUUAGAAAUGGAAGGCCAAGAUGGUUAGUGGAAUUCUUUUUCGGCAUUGGAUAUAUAAUUAUAAGAUGAAGAAGAGAAGCAGCAGAGCUACACCAACACCAACACGAACACCAACACGCAAGAGAACUCAUUUGGAACUUAGUGUGUUUUGCUCGAAUUCAACUUUAGAGUUUAUGAAAUGUUGUUGUAUAUUCGAAUCUGUUAAGUUCUAUUUUAUCUUUAGGUCAUUGUUUAAAUUGACUAGUUUUGUACUUUUUUUGUUUAGAGACGGAUCCCCAACACGGGUCGUCACGUACGACGGAUUUAACGACAGAAAUAUGGGUUCGGUCGGGUCUGCUUUUGAGACGGAAUUUAAGACGGAAUUUACGUCUCAAAAUUCUAAAGACGGAUAUUUUCCGUCUUAAAUUUUAAUUUAGAAUUAAUAAUAAUAAAUUUAAAAGUUAACGACAGAUAACUUCCGUCUCAAAAUUUAUUUUAGAAUUAAUAAUAAUAAUAAUAAAAUUAACGACGGAUUAUUUCCGUCUCAAAGAUUAAUUUAAAAUUUAUAAUAAUUAAAUUGAAAUCUAACGACAGAUUUAUUCCGUCUCAAAAUUUAAUUCACGCUUUUCAGCGCCAGAUUUCUUUCUCUUUUCUCCACUUCUUUUUCCCUAAAAUCCUAAAUCCCUACCGCCUCCAGCCACCCCACCGCCGUCCACAACCUUCACCGUUCACCGUCCUCCGCCUCCACCAGCUAUUGCCGCUGAGGAACACCUUCGCAGCCCGCGCCGUCAGCCUCUACCUCCGCAACGUCUGCAAUCUACAAUUCGAAGAAGAACCGAAAGCGCCCCUCCGCCGCCGCCGCCGCAGCCUAUUUUGUUUCGGCUGGAGUUAAAGGUAUGGCUUAUUCCGUUCAAUUUCUGUUUCGCCGCAGCCUAUUUACAAUUUCUGUUGCUUAAAGUUCAAAUGUGGCUUAUUCCGUUCAAUUUUUGUCCCAGCCUCCAAUCGCCACCACCGCCUCGGCCCUCCGGCCUCAUCCUCAGCCGUCGCCGGUCCUUCCCUGACCCCGUUGCUGCCUUCCUCUUCAGGUAAGUUUGUUGCCUCAAUUUGAGGAUGAUUUGUGUGUUUUAACGUGAAGAAGUUGAUUCCAAAUGUGACAAACUUAUAUUGAAAUCUUUCUGUUAAUGAUUUUUUUUGACGUGAUUUAUAAUUGGUAUCUCUAAAAUAUUAUUCUGUUAAUGAUGAAGGAUAGAGGGAGCCAUGUAAAUGUGGAGGUGGAGCUCUAGUCUAUACCUCUCACUUGGAUUCUUAGAUUCUAUUAUUUCGUUGUUGUAAUGACAAGGUUGUAAAAUUUGUUAAAUUGCAGAAUUAUACUCACACAGCAGGGGCCACCGUUAUACAUCAGUUUUGUCAUAUUGGUUCUUUUUCUUUCAUUGGUGGUGGGUCAGUGGUAAGGACUUAUGCUCAGAAUAUUCUUGAUUGUAGUGAUAAUUUUCUUUUUAAUGAGCAGUGAAGCAUGCAAUAAAAUGAACUUCCUUGUUGAUGUGCAGUUCUCUUAUCUUCUUGUUGAAUCUUGACUAAGAGGGUGUGUGGCUGAGCUCAUAAGCUCUUUAAAAAAGCUUAUGAUAAUAGCACUUGACAUUUCUCUUUGUACAGUGGUUGCUUAUGACACAUUAUUUUUAUAACUAUAUUUUGGCAGUGAUUUUGGAGAGCUGAAAACGUUUGAAAAUUCCGAUUGUUUAAUUGGCUUCCAUUGAAUACAUGCCAUGCCAGAACUGAUGGUGUUUGAUGAUAUAUGAUUGUUUGCUCACACCUCAUUUUUAUUUGAUCUCUUUGACGUACCUUGAAGGUUUCUCAAGAUGUACCCAAAUACACAAUGGUCUGUGGUGAACGAGCUGAGCUGCGUGGAUUAAAUCUCGAAGGCCUAAGGCGCCGUGGGUUUUCAGUUGGGGAGGUUGGUUUUCGGUCAGUUCAUAAUGCACUUAUUGCAUGUGAUAGUUUAGUUAUUCUCUAAUGUGAUUUCCAUUAAGUGAAUUAAAUUUUAUAGAUCUUCAUCUUCCUCCUUUCUAACUACUGUUCCCUGAAAUUGUCGGAUCCAGAAUCAGUUUCUAUCUGAUCUUUAGGACUUUACGAGAAAAUCCAACUAAGUUUUUGUGCACUCGAUACUGAUUUCCUAUGUUUUAUCAUCGAGUAUGACCAUUAAAAUUUGACCUGAUAUAUCCCAGAUAAAGAGCCUGAGAGCAGCUUAUCGCAAAAUAUUUAUGCCUAGUGAAGGAAGUUCUCAUAGCAUUGAAGACCGGCUUGUCGAAUUGGUAUGCCAGGGCAACUGUUCUUCAUUUUAUAAAAUCUUAACAGUUUCGACUAGAGAGAGCGUAGUGGUUGAAGAAAGUGACGAUGAAGAAGUGAUAGAGUUGGAAUUCGAGAGGGCUGUGGACAAAGUUCACACACACACUAUUAAUUAUAAUUAAGUGUCGAGUGAUGACAUAUGCUUAAAUUCUGUUGUCAUAAUAUAAUGUGGAGGUUUAUGUUUUUGGGAGCAGGGGAUUGUUUGAAUCCUUUUGGCUUGUUUAAAUCCAAACCAAAAGUGGAAACCCCCAGAGUUGAAGAUGAGCAGCCACCAAUUUCUGUAGGGGGUACAACAACUAUUACUAAUGCUGGAGGUAUUUUUCUAAAUUAAGAAGCGUUCAUUUUUUAAGGUAUUAAUUGUCUGAAUCCUUUUGAUUGGGCUUUCCAGGAUCCACACGAGGAUUAGAAAGCCCCAACGUGGGCCCAUCAAAUGGCGUAGCGAGUACAACCACUAAUGCUCCAGGUACAACUCCGUUUAUUUCCUGCCAAAAUAUUUGUCAAUUUGCGUUUAGGAGAAGCAAAACCAGUGCAUAAUCCAGCUCAUGCGACAGUUGAUAUUCCAGGUGAAAAAAAACUCAUUCUAAUUAAAUAAAGUUGAGUUAGGGGCAACAUUCAAAGAUUUUAACUAAUGGAAAACUGCAGAGAUGAGCGGUUUACAGCAACCACUAAUUCCUGGCAUUAGGCGGAUGGAGAUGUUGAAAUGCAUCGUGUAUGGAGGUCUAAUCGAGUCGAUCGCGAGCUUGAGCAUCGUCUCAUCUGCAGCUGCUUCCGACGCCACCACAUGUACGUCUUUCCCAUCAUCGAUAUCAAAAUGUAUUGCCAUCUCUAACGGAAUAUAUAAUCUCUGUUUCAGUAAACGUCGUCGUUAUUGGUUUGGCAACCCUACUCAGCGGCGUCUUCGCUUUUGCCUGCAACGUAAGUAGACACUGUUUCUAAACAUUUAUUUUCGACCAUAGUAUAUGUAAUAUUUCUAUCAAACAUUUGAGGGGGCCGAAGCCCACCCAAAACCGAUACUUGGUUCUUGAUCAAAAGAAUGAUUUAUUCUGUAAGGAGUUGUAGCUUUUCCUCUUGAUGAAAUUUUCUGCGUCCGUCGUCGCUGUUUGCAGCUGGUGGAGCUACGAAACGACUGCUCGGACGACAAGUGUUCGUUAUAAAGAUAUGAUUCAUAAAAUGAAGAAGGGCAGACCUGAGCGACCUCCUUGGAUGAGGCAGAAUGUGUGGGAAAAGUGGUUAGAAUAUUGGAACAAGGAUGAAGUGAAGGCUAAGGCAGCCAAAGCACAAAAGAAUAGGAUGUCUGAGCCUGAUGGGCCUGGUACUGGUAUUUCAAUCCAUAGAGGAGGGUCGAGAAAUGCCCUACAACAUGCUGUAGUACUGGUAAGUCAGUAUUAAUUAAAUACAACUUAAAUUUCUUUAAAUUUUUAUUAACUAUUAUUAAUUUGUUUGAACUGAAGAGAGAACAAGGAGUUCCAGCUGAAGAAGUGGACUGGAGUGUCUUCAAUGUCUUGCAUGCGAAGGCUGGAGAAUUCACCUAUCCCAGAGCUCGAGAUGCAUACGUAUGAAAUCCUUAAAUUAAGUUAUGUCAAAUUCAUCUUUAUGUAUCUAUACUUAAUGAUUAACUUAUAAAGUUUUUAUUAACUACAAAAACAGGCCCAAGUGACUGCUAAGGCUGCAGAGCUAGCUCAAUCUCAGUCAAAUGAUGGCUCUGAGUCUCAGGAGGUAGACAUGAACAGGUUACUACUAGAUGCAGUUGGAGGCGUAUCGGCCAAGAAGCGAGUUUUUGGGAUUGGUCACGUUCUCAUGCUUACACGUCCACCUCUAGAUCUACCAAGGAGCCAGUUUAGCUCACAGCCUCAGCUUGAUGCAGUUUAGCCGAUAAGAUGAAGGAGUACGAGGCUCAGAUGCAGGCUAAGAUGGAGGCUAGAGAGGCGCAGAUACGAGAGGAGGCACAAGCUAGAGAGGCUCAGAUGCGUGCAGACGUACAGGCACAGUUGCAGGCACAGCAAGCCGAGUUCAUGAAGAUGCUAGCUGAGAUGAGGAAUCUACCACCCCCUUGAUUAUGUUUGUUUUAGGAACUUGAAUCUAUUUUGCUAGGUGCUAACUUUGUUAGAUACUAGAAUUUGGAUUGUUAGAUACUUUGUUGAUUAUCGUUGACUGUUGGUUACUAUUUAAAGUUUAUCUAUUAUGUUGCUUGAUGAAAGUAUUAGAAUAUAGGUAAAUAGGAAUUGGUUCAAUUGAGAUUUAUAUAUAUUUUGAGAUUUUGAGAUAAAUGAACAUAUAAGUACAUUUUGAUGAACUUGUCAAUUAAUUUUUAUGAACGCGCGUUGGUCUGGGGUUCAAUCCCUACAAGUGGCGUGUUUUUUAAAUAAAUUAAAUAGAUUCAUAUGUUCAUCAGUUAUAUUGGUUAUGUUCAAAGAAUUUAUUGAUAUGUUCAUUUAUCUCAAAAUCUCAAAAUAUUUAAAAUCUCAAUAUAAGCUAACCCUAGGUAAAUAACAGAAUUAAAAAAAAAAAUAUAUUGGCAGUUUUAGCGACGGAAAUUCCGUCUCAAAAUAAAAAUAAAAAAAAUUCAAAAAAACUGACAAAAAAGUCUAACGACGGAAAUUCUGUCUCAAAAGAACGGCGGCGGCGCCGGAAAGUGAUCGCCGGAAAAUCUAACGACGGAAUCCUUUCCGUCUCAACUAGAGACGGAAUUUCCGUCUCAGUUUCCGUCUCAAAAUUCGGUCAACACACACGACCACCAGUCGGUUAGAGACGGAAUUUCCGUGGCUAUUCUGUCGUUAGAUUUGAGACGGAAAAUAAAAUCUGUCGCUAGAGAAUUUAGCGACCCCGUUAUCAGCGUCCCCGUCGUUCAGUCGUAGUUCUGUCGUAACUAGAAUUUUGAGACGGAAUGUUCGGGAUUUUGAGACGGAAUUUCCGUCGCUAGAAUUAAUUUUUUUUGUAGUGCUUGUUUAGGUUAUUGUUUAGAUUUAUUUUGACAAUUUUUUUGUUUUUUGUUUUUUGUUUUGAGGGACACUUCUGUGAUUUUAUUUGGUAACUUUCGUUUUAGGGACAUAGAACACUUGAUUUUCCACACUAAUAAUUUUACUCGAGCAAAAAUGCUACGUGUGAAGACAAAGAAUUAUGAUUUGCACAGACAAGUUGAAAGGGUUAAGUUUAAAUUGAUUAUAUAAGCUUCCUUCGUUAAUAGGCUAAAAGCGCAUAGUUUCAUUAUGCAAUUGACUUGACUUAAACUAAGCAAGAAAAUCUAUUCUUUUUCAUGCUAUGUUUGAUUUUGCAUAGAAAAUUGAUUCUAGUAUACCUCUCUAUGUCUAUAAUCGAAUGUGGUAAAGACAAAGAAUAAUAGGAAUGAAUUGAUUUCCCAAAUUGCGAAUUACAUUUGAAACUUACAUUCUGGUGGUAAAAUCAUGACAUGCACAGACUAGUCAAAAAAGUGAAGUUAGAAUAUUGAUUAUUAGAUAAGCUUCCCUCAUUUCCCAUUAAAAUGAGAUAAAUGGUCUUUGUCUCCAAUCAAUUUUAACUAAUUAAUUAAUUGGAGUGUGAAAUUGACGAAAAUUAUUUACAAGUGAAGCCAAUUGCAGAAUGAAACUAAAUCAAAUAUAGCCACAUAUCUUUGGUCCCAUCAAUGGAAAAUGAAAUCAAUUCUAACUUCUUUGAUCAGUCUGUUGCGCAGACUAGUCAAAACGGAAGCUUCUUCCAUUUUGCAUUAGUGGGGCCUUAAAAAUGUGGCUAUUUUUUUAUUUAGUUUCAUUCUGCAAUUGGGUUGACUUGUAAAUCAUCUUUGUCGCUUUUGCCUCCAAAAUUCUACCUUCACCACAAUUAUUUUUUGAGAAGCUUAUAAGUUCUCGGAGCUUAUUUUUACAGAUUAUAAGCUGAUUAGGAGUUUAUUUUGCCAAACACUUUGAAAUGUAUUUUGAAGAGCUUAUAAGCUUAGCCAAACACCCUCUAAGUCUGGGAGUGUAUUCAAUGAUAUAAUGACUCAGAAGCGUCAUUAAUGUGUUUGGUACAACAUUAAAUCAUGGCAUUAACUUUUCCCAUUUUCCACAACUACCUUAUAGUGACUUAAUUCAUUUCCCUAAUUUCGAAUAUCAUUUGAAACUUUCAGACAAAAUAACUGUUGCUCGAAAUGAUUAUAGAAGCUUCUUUCAUUUUCCAUUAAUGGGACCUAAAAAAUGUGGCCAUAUAAAUGGCAUGAGCUAGUCUUCUUGUCUGCACACACAACUACAAUUAGCACUCCGCAUUUGCGAUAUGGAGAGAGUUUCUUCCUAUUUUCUCAUCCUUGCACUACUCUUACCAAUCCAUUAUUUGAUGGAUUAUAGCUCAGCCAAAAACGAUAUCAACACCGAUCGUUCUUCACUUCUCGCCUUAAAAUCCCAAAUCACAUUAGAUCCUCAAAAUAUAUUGACCCAAAAUUGGAGCACUGAAGCCAGUGUUUGUAGUUGGAUCGGAGUUACUUGUGAUUCACAUUACAAUAGGGUGACUCAGUUGAAUAUAUCGGACAUGGGUCUUGUGGGAACCCUCCCACCAGAAAUUGGGAAUCUUUCUUCUCUCGUUUCUUUAGAAGCGAACGAGAACUCCUUUCAUGGCCCCAUUCCCCCAUCUAUCUUCAACAUGUCAUUUCUAGAAGUUUUGGAAGUAAGGUAUAAUAGUUUGUCUAGUAGUUUACCUCUUGAUAUGUGCAAACACAAUCUGCAUAGACUCAAGAGGCUUCGUUUGUCUUACAACAUGGUGUUGUAUGGGGAAAUACCAUCGAGUUUGGGGCAGUGUUCACAGCUUGAGUAUCUGUCUUUGUACGUCAACAAUUUCACUGGAUUUGUGCCGACAGAAAUUGGGAACUUGACGAAGCUUCAAGAGUUGUACCUUGGUGCAAAUAAGUUGACUGGUAAGUUCAUUCCUAUAUUUAUGAGGUCAAAUCAUUUAAUGCCAUAUUAUACGUUUCAAUCUAGAAUAAUUAGUGGAAUAAAUAUCAUUAUACUUAAAAUAGUAUACUGCUCAAUCUCCCAACCGAUCGAAUCGCGUAUUUUAUUUAUUAUUGUUAUGAUCGUUAUGCUUAACAAUAUGGAACUUGACUUUGAUGACUUCAUUAUUCUCCAGGUACUAUUCCGAAAGAGAUCCGAAAUCUUCAUAAUUUGCAGUACAUGUGGUUGGAUUCCAACGAACUUAGCGGAUCAAUUCCGAGAGAAGUGGGGAACAUGACAGCUUUGGUCAGCUUAAGCCUCGACAAUAAUCGUUUAAGUGGUAUCAUUUAUUAUCACCUAGCCACAAGUUUAGCUCCGCAAGCUAGCUUGCGAUUUAAUUUCUUUUUUUUGGGAUUCCCACAAACUUAGUGGAGCUUUAAUUGCACACACAAAUUUGGAAUAUUAGAACUCUUUGUCGCUCACACCUUUUUAACAUUUAUUUAACUUUUCCGCCAGGUACUAUUCCUAAAGAGAUUGGAAAUCUUCGUAAUUUACAGUUCUUAAUUUUGUCUUCCAACAAACUUAGUGGAUCAAUCCCGAGAGAAGUGGGAACAUGACAGCUCUUAACGACUUACAGCUCUACAAUAAUAGUUUAAGUGGUAUGAUUUAUUAUUUAGCUAGCCACAAGUUUAGGUAAAGAUAAUAUUGUUUGUUAAAAUAUUAAAAUAGUAUACAGCUCAAUCUCCCAACCGAUCGAAUCGCGUAUUUUAUUUAUUAUUGUUAUGAUCGUUAUACUUAACAAUAUGGAACUUGACUUUGAUGACUUCAUUAUUCUCCAGGUACUAUUCCGAAAGAGAUUGGAAAUCUUCAUAAUUUGCAGGACAUGCGGUUGCAUUCCAACGAACUUAGCGGAUCAAUCCCAAGAGAAGUGGGGAACAUGACAGCUCUUAUGAACUUAUACCUCGACUAUAAUAGAUUAAGUGGUAUGAUUUAUUAUUCACCUAGCCACAAGUUUAGCUCCUCAAGCUAGCUUACGAGUUAAUUUCUUUUUCUCUUAUUUCAUUUGAUCUUCUUUAAUUAAGAGGUAUGUUGGCUUGAAGUUGGUAGGGGUCAUACAUUGUCUUGUGGGAUUAUUCUCCAGGUACUAUUCCGAAAGAGAUUGGAAAUCUUCAUAAUUUGCAGGACAUGUGGUUGGGUUCCAACGAACUUAGCGGAUCAAUCCCAAGAGAAGUGGGGAACAUGACAGCUCUUAUGAACUUAUACCUCGACUAUAAUAGAUUAAGUGGUAUGAUUUAUUAUNACAAAUUUGGAAUAUUAGAACUCUUUGUCGCUCACACCUUUUUAACAUUUAUUUAACUUUUCCGCCAGGUACUAUUCCUAAAGAGAUUGGAAAUCUUCGUAAUUUACUGUUUAUAGAUUUGUCUUCCAACGAACUUAGCGGAUCAAUCCCGAGAGAAAUGGGGAACAUGACAGCUCUUGACAUGUUAUGGCUCGACAAUAAUACUUUAAGUGGUAUGAUUUAUUAUUUAGCUAGCCACAAGUUUAGGUAAAGAUAAUAUUGUUUGUUAAAAUCUUAAAAUAGUAUAAAGCUCAAUCUCCCAACCGACCGAAUCGCGUAUUUUAUUUAUUAUUGUUAUGAUCGCUAUACUUAACAAUAUCGAACUUGACUUUGAUGACUUCAUUAUUCUCCAGGUACUAUUCCGAAAGAGAUUGGAAAUCUUCAUAGUUUACACAUCAUGCAGUUGGGUCCAACAAACUUAGCGGAUCAAUCCCAAGAGAAGUGGGGAACAUGACCGCUCUUAUCAGCUUACAGCUCGACAAUAAUAGUUUAAGUGGUAUGAUUUAUUAUUCACCUAGCCACAAGUUUAGCUCCUCAAGCUAGCUUACGAGUUAAUUUCUUUUUCUCUUAUUUCAUUUUAUCUUCUUUAAUUAUACUAUGUUAAAAAGAAUGCAAUACAUCUAUACUAAUAUAAAAUGAGCUUUGGACACAACACACAACAUGUGGAUUGUCUCUCUAUUUUACACUUAUUACAUGUUUUAUUUUAAAGUUAUUUUACAUAUUAUAUAUUUAUAAAAAUAUAUUAAUUCAUCAGAUAUUAUACUAAAACUAUGUGAUAUAUAUCUAUAGUUGUUGAUAAGGCUUAUAAAUAAAUAUAUCUAUCAAAUAAAUUAUUCACCUUAAUUCACGUGCCCAAAAGUUUUUGAGACACUUAUAGUGGGACGGAGGGAGUAUUUAGUAGAAGUAAUAAACUAAUAGAUUUUCUAAAAAAAAAUUAUUGUAUGACUAAAUAGACCAAAUUGUUAAUUGAAAAAUUAAAUAUAAUAAAUAUUAUAUUUAUAUUUUUUUAUUUUUAUCAAAUAAAAUAACAUUAAUUAUGCAUACAAUAUACGCUCUUUCUCCUAGUUCCUUAUAAUAUUUUGUUUUUUUUUUUUUUGAAAAAUAUAGUUCCUUGUAAUUGUUAAGUAAGAUGUUAAACCUUAUGUAAACCAAAUGUUUUGUGCAUUUUUAGAUAUAAAGAAAUUUGAUUCAUGUCCUUCUGUCUUUCAAGUAAUAAAUUUGAAGGUCUCGUACUAACUUUCAGGUCAAAUACCAUCUACCAUUGGGAAUAUUCUAUCAUUGAGUGUUCUACAACUCUCUUCCAACAAAUUAAUCGGUGAGCUUCCAUCCUCCAUCUGUAACUUGACAUCUCUUUGGUUUCUUCUUCUCUCGGAUAACACUUUGGAAGGAACAAUUCCACAAUGCUUUGGAAACUUGAGCUCUUUGAGCAUCUUUCAUUUAAAUAAAAAUCAAUUUCGUGGUCUCAUUCCAGCAACAUUUAGCAAGGGAUGUAGUCUUGAAUCCAUCAAUUUGAAUGGUAACAAAUUGCAAGGACCAUUACCUAAAUCCUUGAUCAAUUGCGGAAGUCUACGAGGCCUCGAUGUUGGAAACAAUAGAAUACAAGACGAAUUUCCCUUUUGGAUGGAUGGCCUCCCUUGGCUUCGAGUGUUGGUCUUGAGGUCUAACAAGUUUGAUGGGAACAUGUCACUUCUAUCACAAACCAAGAUUCCAUUUCCUAAUUUACAAGUUUUAGAUAUAUCUCAUAAUAGAUUUGUGGGUUCUCUGCCUCAAAGAUAUUUCAAGAAUUUCAGACGAAUGAUAGAGGUAAAUGAAACAAACUUGUCAAAUGACGACGACCUUCUUCGUUAUGUGGAGAUGAGGCUCACCUUGAAAGGGACUGGAUCAAUUAUUAGAGAGAUUGUUGUCAGCCUUACAGCAAUGACUUAUCCUCCAAUAGGUUUUCUGGGAGUAUUCCAAAUUACCAUAGGAAAUCUUAAGAUUCUCAAAUACUUGAAUUUAUCCCACAAUAACCUCAUUGGAAAUAUACCUUCAUCUCUUGCAAAUAUGAGUGAACUUGAAUCUUUGGACUUGUCCGUGAACAAGUUGGAUGGAGAAAUUCCAAGUGAAUUGACAAGGUUGACAUUUCUUGCGAAAUUAAACCUUUCAACGAAUAAUCUUGUGGGGCAAAUACCACAGUCUAAGCAGUUUUCCACAUUCGAGAAUGAUUCAUACGUCGGAAACUUGGGACUGUGUGGAGUUCCGUUGACGAGAAAAUGCAACAACGAGAAUGGGCAUCGGAUGCAGCCAGAAGAAGAAGAUGGCGAAGAUGAUGAGUAUGGAUUUAUAGAUGGAUUUGGAUGGAGAAGUGUGGUGAUGGGAUAUGGAAGUGGAUUCAUAGUUGGGAUUGGAAUUGGUUACAUCAUUAUUAGAAAUGGAAGGCCAAGAUGGUUAGUGGAAUUCUUUUUCGGCAUUGGAUAUAAUAAUAAGAAGAAGAAGAAGAGACGCAGCAGAGCUACACCAACACCAACACACAGGAGAACUUAAUUGAAGGAUUGUGCUCGAAUUGUGUUUUCUUUUUCUUAUCUCCUUUUUAAUGGCUACUUUAGUGUGUUUGUGCUCGAUUUCAACUUUAGAGUUUAUGAAAUAUUAUUGUUUGUUCGUGUUGUUAUGUCUUGAAUCUCCCGUUUUGAACUACGGGGCUCUCGCUGAGAUCUAUAAAUACUAUAAAUACUUGAGAUCUGUAAUCUGUAACCCUAGCCGCAUAAUAAAAUCUGCCAUCCUCUCUGUCCGUGGAUGUAGCCAUAUUGGUGAA
This 24979-nucleotide long non-coding RNA is filed under the name Salvia miltiorrhiza (redroot sage). Its description in RNAcentral is "long non-coding RNA (SMIL_LNC007474)". The record is from RNAcentral. Lineage: Eukaryota; Viridiplantae; Streptophyta; Magnoliopsida; Lamiales; Lamiaceae.